CCCACCAGCGAGCCGCCGCCGCCCCCAAGCCCCUCCCACUAGCGAGCCGCCGCCGCCCCGAUCCCCCUCCCACCAUCGCACCGUCGUCGCCCCCAAGCCCGUCUCACCAGCGCGCCGCCGCCGCCCCGAUCCCCCUUCCACCAGCGCGGCGCCGCCACCCCCAAGCCCCUCCCACCAGCGCACCACCGCCACCCCCAAGCCCCUCCCACCAGCGCGCCGCCGCCGUUGCCCCGAUCCCCCUCCCACCAGCGCGGCGCCGCCACCCCCAAGCCCCUCCCACCAGCGCACCACCGCCAACCCCAAGCCCCUCCCACCAGCGCGCCGCCGCCGUUGCCCCGAUCCCCCUCCCACCAGCACGCCGCCACCACCCCAAACUCCCUCCCACGGCCAUAUCACCCGCGCCGCCGGCCGCGCCUCCCUCCCGCACGCCACCUGCGGCUGCCACGCCAUGGCAGGCACUGAGCCAUUGCGGUAGUACAACUGCACGCUCCACCGCUGGUCAUGAGAAGAGUUGCGUGCAGGCCACCCGUGCUCUUCCCUGGAUCCGAUUCAGUUGUCUUCCUCUCAUCCUCUCUCUGUUUGCGUGUGUGUAUGAAGGAAGUGAGAGGAGAUAGAACAAGGGAGUGAGCGAUCCCUAUUCUCAUGUCUGUUAGAUGUGGGUAUGUGAUUUCCCAAUGUCAAAUCCCACGUUUGUCUUGAUUAGUUGUAGUUUUAUGGAUCUUGUUCUUGUGCAAUGUAAAUCUGUGUAUAGUUCACCCAUUUUCUCUCUGAAACUGUGAGCUGACAGAGCAGAGAUGAGUUGACAGUGUGGGUUCAGGUAGUGAGAUUUGCAGCUAGUUGUUUACUUGUUUAGGUGGUUGCAAGGGCUUAGUCCAUGAGUUCUAUUUGAUUACAGUCAGGCCACUAGUUAGUAUUGUGGUACUCCGUUGCAAGAAAAAUGGGUCGUCGGUUCAGUUAUAGGCACCCAACUCUGAAGAUUUUGAAUUUUUAGCAUGGUAUUUUAAGUUUGUUUUUUAUCAUAUAAUGUAAAAUUGUAAACAUGUUUCCAAUGGUCUUUGCUCCCAGUUCUAAACUUAUUCAGUAUGUUAGUACAGUCGUCGCGGUCGCCACCCCGACGCCUAACCCGCCAACCUGCGUCGCGUUGCCCGGGAUCCCCGAGCACUGUCGUGCCCCGUCACCGGUGCCUGACGGUGAGGGCUACCGUCUUUCCCGACAAAGCAGGCUACCAUCCGUCCAUUGACAAUGCGCAUGUCCAGCCGUUGCUGCAUCUCUCUCUGCCCGUGGAUGCUCCUCGAUCCAGGAGGUGCUAGCUCAUGUUGGCUGGAACUAGGAUGCAAAAGAGUUGACGGAUCCAUGCCGCACAAGCACUGGUGCUCUGCUUUCUUCUUACUUUGUGUUCUAAUUUGCUUUCUUCUUAUUUUCAGUUUGCGAGAUACAAAAAGAAGUUAAAAAAAUGUUGUGCCUGGAGUUCAUAUUAUUUGCUACCCCAUGAUGUACGUCUAUAGUUUCUCCCUCCAAAUGUGUUGGUCCAUGUGGUUGUUUUUUUGUUUUCUUUUGUUUUGGAUCUACGAAAAAGGUUAUUGAAGCUCAAAUGUGAUAAGCACAUAAGUUCAGAUCUCCGCUGCUACAAAGUUCACGUAUACCUCUGUCUGUUUUAAUCGUGACAUACAAAUUUUGCACUACGAGAAAGUUCAGAGGCAAGAAAGUAGAAAAUAAAGAACACAAAAAUAUCAACAAAAAAUUCACUAGGAGAAAAGUUCAAGUCAGGAUAUGCAAGAAAAGUUCUUAUUUUAUUUCUGUUCAAUUUCAAAUUCUAGUGAAAUUUCAUUUCUUAUUUAAUUUAGUCUAGUUUCUUAUUUUAGUUUAGUUCAAUAUCUAAUUUUUAUUCAGAUCAAUUCUUAUUUUAGAAAAAAAUUUGAAUUGUUUCUUUAUCUACAUUCUUCUAUUCAACAUCAGGGAGAAGGUGCCUCAUGUUAAAAGUGUGCCCAGAUUUUCUAAGUUUGACAGUUUUUCAGUUGGUGUAGAGCUUGUCAAAUCGACAGUUUUUCAGUUCGUGUGGAGCUUGUCAUAGUUUUAUGCAGAUAAAGCUUUAUAAAAAUGCACUAAAAGUGUUCUGUUUUUUGGUAUCUCACAGAUGUGUGUAGCUAUUGUAUGUCUUCUGAAUCAUGAUGCUUGUUGUCCUUUUGUACAUAUCUUUAGUGUGCGUGUCGAAGGCCAGUAAGUUCUACUGCCAGUAUACGCCAAGUUCAGAGAUGUUGCCGCCGAUGGCAUGGAGUGAGCCGCAUCUCGCACCUCCACCAGCUGCAGUUCACGGCCUCCGCCAGCUGAAGGUCCUGAGGAUCAUUUUUCUCUGAUGUCCAUGUAUCGAGAUAUGGUAUCUGAUCAGUUCCACAAAUAUUUGGAGCUAAACAACUUAGCUAGUUCGGUCGUACUGACCCAUUGGCCUGUUUUACUACCUCUCUAAAUAAAGUUGCAAGAAUGACUAACACGUGAAAAUAGGAAUUAAUGUGUAAACCGGUACAUGCUCCUUGUUGAUAAAAUCUAGCCCAUUCAAAGUAGUCAUGAUUGUACUGGCAUGCUAUGUUUCAUCGUUAUCUAACAGUGCAUACAUCGUUAUCUAAGUGCAGUACAUCAUUAUCUUAUAGUGCAGUACGUCGUUAUCUUACAGUGUAGUACAGUAAUUCAUGAUCUAACAUUUUUACAGGAACUGCAUGCUAUAUACAGAAAUUCUAUAGAAACUACUGCAGAUACAUGACUUAUGAGGCUACCAGAGGCUACUACACCUCCAUAUUAUUGACAACCUGUAACUUGCUUCCAACACACUAGUAACACAUUCUAAGGUUCCUAAUCGGCUACUUCAGAGCGCUGUUGCUAUUCUGUGGGUAAAUGUCCUCAUUUUGUUGAUGGUGGCAUCUUACAAAGAAAAGGAAGUUCGAGAUGGGAACACUUUUUCAAAUGCUCACCUCCCAUUCGUGAUGCUGCCAACAAGGAAAACCUCUGGGAAGCUCUGCUGUACAAACACAUCAGCAUAGUAAAGGAUGCGGCACCUUGGGGAAUAAUGCCUACAAUGCGCAAGCCCAGGAUGACGACGCUGAUCACUAGCACGAAGGAUAGGCUAAGGAUGAAGUACACGAUGCAGGCAAUGAGGACAAUGAAAACAUGCAAUCUGUAAACAUAGCAGCAGCUGCAAGUUCUUCUGUGUAUUAUGAUAUGAUUGCUACUUUUUAAAAGAAAGUGUAUAUGAUAGUUUGAUGUUUCUGCAAGAAAUGAAAAAAUGGUUUGAAUUAAAAACAUUGAUCAGUACGAAUAAAAAACAAUUAUCUGUUCGA
Molecule: long non-coding RNA, 3329 nt
Organism: Aegilops tauschii subsp. strangulata
Lineage: Eukaryota; Viridiplantae; Streptophyta; Magnoliopsida; Poales; Poaceae
Source: RefSeq, a predicted model, not a curated record